GGGGUCCUAUGGGGUCCGAUGGGGUCCUAUGGGGUCCCUUAUGGGGUCUUAUGGGGUUUCUAUGGGGUGUUAUGCGGUCCUAUGGGGUUUUGUGGGGUCUUAUGGGGUGUUAUGGGGUCCUAUGGGGUCCUAUGGGGUGUUACGGGGUCCUAUUGGGUCCUAUGGGGUCCUAUGGGUCCCUAUGUGGUUCUAUGGGGCUCUAUGGGUCUCUAUGGGGUCUUAUGGGUCUCAAUGGGGUGUUAUGGGGUCUCUAUGGGUCUCUAUGGGGUUGUAGGGGGUCUUAGGGGUCCCUAUGGGGUCCCUAUGGGGUCUUUAUGGGAUCUCUGUGGGUCUUUAUGGGUCUCUAUGGGGUCUUGUUGUGUCCUAUGGGUCCCUAUGGGUCUGUAUGGGGUUUUAUGGGGUCUCUAUGGGUCUCUAUGGAGUGUUAUGGGGUUCCUAUGGGGUCUCUAUGGUGUCCUGUGGGUUUCUAUGGGGUGUUAUGGGGUCUCUAUCGGGUUUUAUAGGGUCUCUAUGGGUCCCUUUGGGUCUCUGUGGGCCCUUAUGGGGUUGUAUGGGACUCUAUGGGGUCCUAUGGGUCUCUAUGGGUCUCUAUGGGGUCGUAGGGGGUCUUAGGGGUCUCUAUGGGGUCUCUAUGGGGUCCUAUGGGUCUCUAUGGGGUUUAAUGGGGUCUCUAUGGGUCUCUAUGGGGUCCUUUGGGGUCCUUUGGGGUCCUAUGGGUCUCUAUGGGUUUCUAUGGGUUCCUAUGGGGUCUCAAUGGGUCUCUAUGGGUCUCUAUGGGGUCUUGUUGUGUGCUAUGGGUCCCUAUUGGUCUCAAUGCGGUGUUAUGGGGUCUCUAUGGGUCUCUAUGGGGUCGUAGGGGUCUUGGGGUCUCUAUGGGGUCUCUAUGGGUCUCUGUGGGUCCCUAUGGGUCUCUGUGGGUCCUUAUGGGGUUGUAUGAGUCUCUAUGGGUCUCCAUGGGUCUCUAUGGAUCUCUAUGGGGUCUUGUGGGUCUCUAUGGGGUGUUAUGGGGUCUCUAUGGGUUGCUAUGGGGUUUUAUGGGGUCUCUAUUGGGUCUCUAUGGAUCUGUAUGGGUCCCUAUAGGGUCCCUAUGGGGUCCCUAUGGGGUCUUUAUGGGAUCUCUAUGGGUCUCUAUGGGGUCUUGUUGUGUCCUAUGGGUCCCUAUUGGUCUCUAUGGGGUUUUAUGGGGUCUCUAUGGGUCUCUAUGGGUCUCUAUGGGGUCCUAUGGUGUCUUAUGGGGUCCUUAUGGGGUCUCUAUGGGGUCCUAUGGGGUCCUAUGGGGUGUUAUGGGGUUUCUAUGGGGUCCUAUGGGGCUUUAUGGGAUCUCUAUGGGUCCCUAUGGGUCCCUAUGGGUCUCUAUGGGUCUCUGUGUCUCCAUGGGUCCCUAUGGGUCUCUAUGGGUCCCUAUGGACUAA
This 1412-nucleotide long non-coding RNA is filed under the name Phasianus colchicus (ring-necked pheasant). RNAcentral's name for it is "lncRNA (ENSPCLG00000016927.1)". Lineage: Eukaryota; Metazoa; Chordata; Aves; Galliformes; Phasianidae. The record is from RNAcentral.